RNAcentral lists this long non-coding RNA (518 nucleotides) under Daphnia pulex (common water flea). Its description in RNAcentral is "uncharacterized LOC124195807, transcript variant X2". Lineage: Eukaryota; Metazoa; Arthropoda; Branchiopoda; Diplostraca; Daphniidae. The record is from RNAcentral.
UUUUUUUUGCGAGCAUUGAAAGCGUAUCGUUAGAUAAUCUGUACGGCGUAUUUUCCUUCUCCAUAGUUUUCUUCAUAAAAAUGUUAUUUGUGUGGUAACCUAGCCUAUAAUUUCUACUUGGAAAUUCCAGCUGAUUAAGUGGCCUGAGCAGAGCCUGAGCAUCUCUACUUUUUGCCAAGAUGUCGUCUACUUUUCCUGUACCGGCUGUACGUUUUGUAAGAAACACUUCAGAACAAAUCAGUGAUAAACAGUCUGGGAAAGUCUGAGCUUCGUCGUUGCUGCCCAAUGUACACAUGGAUUUGAUGCAGCCAGCUGGUAAAGGGUGUUCCACUUGCUACCUGUACUGUUGUGUGUUUCGUCAAAUGAAGAAACAACUGAAGUUUCGCGUUCAUGUUCGUGUAAUUGCUGUCCGAUGUGGCACGUUGUUGCAGCCUAUGCUGGUGAAAGAUCUUUCUACAUCAAAUUCAAUUAGCCGUUCCUUGGUGCUGAUUUUGUGUUACCGAAGUUGCAUCAUAUUU